CUGAAUCACUGAUUCACUCUUUGGUCGAGGAGAUCAGACGAAUUGGGGAAAGCAAAACCCAUACUCUGAAGAAAGUUGAAUCGUUUCUCAACAAUCGUUUUCACCAGCAAAUGCAAGCGCCAAUAUCUGGAUGACAUCCUGAAAAUGGUUAAAGGUAUUGUCGGGAAAGUGCGGGAGCAAAAAGAUGAGAUCAAUGUCAAAGAAACAACUGUGUCGGGAUCUUGAGCUGAACCAGGUUACAGAUCGAAAUGUUGGUGAUUUAUCUGGUGGCAAGCUGCAGAGGUUUGCUAUCGCUCUAAAUAUUCCAUUAUCAUUUAUUUACUAGUUGUUUUCAGGUUGCUGAGACUCCAGAGGAAAUUCAUUCGUAUACACGAUACAAAUACCAUAGGAUGAGUAAACCUCAAGGAAAUUUUAAGCUUCAUAUCCUGAUUCUCAAAUUGUUGUUAUGCUUGGUGAAAAUGGGACAGGGAAGACAACAUUUAUGAUUUAUCCGCAGGCUAGUAUGCCUUCUAGAUCCUUUAUUCUAUGAGUGCAUGGCUAUUCUUGAUUCUGUAGAGACAUAUCUUUUGUGAAUCCAAAAUAAGGUGUGAAUUUCUUAAUCACUGCUACAACUAUAUACAUGCUGAUUCAUUGAAACCCGACGAGGUGGAUAAUUCAGAUGUAGAAAUACCUGAAUUUAAUGUGUCUUACAAACCCCAGGAGAUCAGUCCUAAGUCUCUAUCUUCUGUUAGAGACUCUCUGCACAAAAGAAUCCGUAUGCGUGCAUGCAUCCUCUGUUUGUGUCAGAUGUCAUGAAACCACUCCAAAUUGAGCAAUCAAUGGAUUAGCAAGUUAAGAAUCUCUCAGGUGGAGAGCGGCAAAGAGUUGCAUUAUGUUUUUGUCUUGGAAAGCCUAUUGUUUCACCAAAAGCCAUUAAGAGGUUUAUCCUUUAUGCAAAGAAGACUGCUUUUGUCGUUGAGCAUGAUUUCAUAAUGGCGACAUAUCAUGCUGAUAGGGUGAUUGUGUUUGAGGGGAGACCAUCUAUUGAUUCUACUGCCAAUGCUCCUCAGUCUUUGUUGACAGGGAUGAAGCUUAUCCUAUCUCAAUUGGAUAUCACAUUUAGAUGCGACCCUACAAAUUUCAGGCCGAGAUUAACAAGUUGGAAUCCACAAAAGACAAGGAGCAAAAUGCUGCUGGGGCCUUUUAUUACCUCAACUAAGGCGUACCAGAGGUCAAGUUUCAUCAAUUGGAUAUUGUGGACGGGGUCCAACCAAUAUCGGCUCAUGGAUUAACAAGUUGCAUUCCAAGGGAGACGGGGACUAGAUGGAAUCCACGAGAGACGGGAACAAGUUGGAAUUCGCGAGAGACGGGGUACAAAGAGCUGCAGGUCCAUAGUAUUAUCUUGAGCUACCUAGACACCAAAAGGGCUCCAACCCAAUCUGCUUUUACAGUAGUCACACUAGCUAGUUUGGAAGCGUGUACGAUCGCGAGGAGAAUAAUGACCUCUGAACAGAACAUCCAUCGAAUCCAUUCCCACCAGGAAAAUGUCCCACAUUUUGGGGGAAUGAAGCAUGCAUGGCUUUAUGCUCCAGUAUCGAAAAGAUUGAGAAUAUUUGAGUGUGAAAAAACUACAUAGAGAAUCUGGUGAGCUAGAUGACCAUAAUUUCAGUUCUUAAUGCGUUUACAAUACAAUCAGCUCAUACCUACUUCCAAAUAACAGGUUGGCUUUCCAGCCCUGUAUACGUGCAGCCAUGAGCAGGAAAAUAACUUGCUCCCACUGUUCACAUGACACCUACAGAUAUGAAAUCUCAGGAACACAGCACAUCAUUUAUCUGACAAUUAUUGAAAAGUCGACUACUAAACUUUCCUGGUCCACCCAUCUCUUUUGAUAAUUGAUAUACAAAGUCCACAGUCAGUGCAGAUAUCGAUAUUUCAUAUUGAUGAGGGAGUUAGCGUCGACGCCAACUGAAACUAUUUACAGAAUCAUAGUAUUGUAUCUUCACUAACUGUAUUGAGAAUUUACAACCACAAGUUUGCAGUAGAGUUAGAAUGUGCUAUAUUUUGACUGGGAUAUGAGAAAAGGGUAAAUGCAUUAUAUAGCCAUUCACCCCUGGCAUAUUUUUUUCCCUAGGAAUAAAAAUAAGUCAUCAGAUGUUGUGAUAUACAAGAAAUAGCAUAGAUAUUUAUAUGAACCGGGGAAUUGUAUCAUCCAUAUGAUAUGGCUAUUUGAGAUGCUGAUAAAAUAACCUAUGAAUUCCUAAGCAGAAUACGUAAUAGCAUAGAUAGCUUA
RNA transcript from Papaver somniferum (opium poppy), 2269 nucleotides. It is a transcript of the gene named ABC transporter E family member 2-like, with no coding region annotated. The transcript is spliced from 7 exons. The record is from RefSeq and is a predicted model, not a curated record. NCBI's taxonomy places the organism in Eukaryota, Viridiplantae, Streptophyta, Magnoliopsida, Ranunculales, Papaveraceae.